Molecule: ribosomal RNA, 139 nt
Filed under: Apicomplexa sp.
Lineage: Eukaryota; Apicomplexa
Description: partial small subunit ribosomal RNA
Rfam family: Eukaryotic small subunit ribosomal RNA
Source: RNAcentral
GUUCGUGGAGUAAUUUGUCUGGUUAAUUCCGUUAACGAACGAGACCUUAACUUGCUAAUUGGGAUGUAUAUUUAAUAUAUUAUCCCUCUUAGAAGGACCAUGUGUACAUAACACAAGGAAGCGUGAGGCAAUAACAGGU